GACAAGAGGAUGGGACUGCAGUUGUGGCUGCCAGGUCUCACUCUCCCUUGGAUGGUCGGCGGGGUGGGGGUGGAGGCCAGGGCUGUAGUGCAGCUCCCGCAGGUGCUGGCUCAGGGGGAGCAGGCAGGCUCCGGUUUUCGGGCCCCGGCCAGGGUGAAAACAAGGAACAUUCCAGAGAAGAUCACAAGGAUGCGAAUAAAAUCGGAGCUGCACAGGGAUCUUUGGGCUGUAAUAGGAGGGGACACACAGGGGUUAGGGGAGGGUCUAGCCCUUGGCUCCCUCAGCCCAGCCCUCCUGUCACCUUGCCUCUCCCCUUUCCCCCACCUUAUUCUAUCCCACCCGCCACCGUUGGCCAACUCCUCUCCUAAACAGUGGACUCUGCUUUUUCCCCUCCUCUUAUCCCUAAUCCUAGGAGCUUUCUGUCUGGCUUCCCUCCUGGCCCCUCGUGUAUGCAUUCUCUCUAGCGGUGGGGAUUAAGGAGAAAACUCACGUGGCCAGUGGGUAGAGAGAGUCCGGGCAGGCAGCUGCCUGAAGUCAGCCAGAGUCUGCAUGUGCCCAGCUGUCCUGGCCUCCAGCAUCUCUGGAAAAACAGAGACAGAAUGAGUAGCAGCAGGGGACCCCAUAGGGCACAUCUGAAGGCCUGAGAGGUGCUGGAUGGGAUGGGAAGGCAGAAACAGGCUGACCUUAUCUAGGGGUAGGAGUGGGGAGUA
This 710-nucleotide long non-coding RNA is filed under the name Homo sapiens (human). RNAcentral describes it as "HSALNT0366418". Lineage: Eukaryota; Metazoa; Chordata; Mammalia; Primates; Hominidae. The record is from RNAcentral.